This is a small nuclear RNA of Syngnathus typhle (broad-nosed pipefish), 190 nucleotides long. RefSeq annotates it as U2 spliceosomal RNA. The record is from RefSeq and is a predicted model, not a curated record. The transcript has a single exon. NCBI's taxonomy places the organism in Eukaryota, Metazoa, Chordata, Actinopteri, Syngnathiformes, Syngnathidae.
ACCGCUUCUCGGCCUUCUGGCUAAGAUCAAGUGUAGUAUCUGUGCUAUGAGAUAAAUAUCUGAUACGUUCUUUAUCCGGGGACCAUAUAUUAAAUUGUUUUUUGGAACAGGGAUGUGGGAUAGGGGCUUUCUCCGUCCACUCCACGCAUCGACCUGGUUUUGCAAUACCUCCAGGAAUGGUGCACCCCCC